GACUGGAUAGCCUAAUUGUAAAGGCAUCACAUUGACAAUGCUGAGGUCCCAGGCUCAACUCCUGGUCUAGUCA
RNAcentral lists this transfer RNA (73 nucleotides) under Cronartium comandrae C4. Its description in RNAcentral is "tRNA-Val (GAC) (tRNA-Val-GAC-10-1)". It matches the Rfam family "tRNA". Rfam says of the family: Transfer RNA (tRNA) molecules are approximately 80 nucleotides in length. Their secondary structure includes four short double-helical elements and three loops (D, anti-codon, and T loops). The record is from RNAcentral. Lineage: Eukaryota; Fungi; Basidiomycota; Pucciniomycetes; Pucciniales; Coleosporiaceae.